RNAcentral lists this ribosomal RNA (511 nucleotides) under uncultured bacterium. RNAcentral's name for it is "partial 16S ribosomal RNA". It matches the Rfam family "Bacterial small subunit ribosomal RNA", at positions 355 to 857 of the family's 1533-position model. The record is from RNAcentral.
UAGGGAAUCUUCCACAAUGGACGCAAGUCUGAUGGAGCAACGCCGCGUGAGUGAAGAAGGUCUUCGGAUCGUAAAGCUCUGUUGUUGGUGAAGAAGGAUAGAGGCAGUAACUGGUCUUUAUUUGACGGUAAUCAACCAGAAAGUCACGGCUAACUACGUGCCAGCAGCCGCGGUAAUACGUAGGUGGCAAGCGUUGUCCGGAUUUAUUGGGCGUAAAGCGAGCGCAGGCGGAAUGAUAAGUCUGAUGUGAAAGCCCACGGCUCAACCGUGGAACUGCAUCGGAAACUGUCAUUCUUGAGUGCAGAAGAGGAGAGUGGAACUCCAUGUGUAGCGGUGGAAUGCGUAGAUAUAUGGAAGAACACCAGUGGCGAAGGCGGCUCUCUGGUCUGCAACUGACGCUGAGGCUCGAAAGCAUGGGUAGCGAACAGGAUUAGAUACCCUGGUAGUCCAUGCCGUAAACGAUGAGCGCUAGGUGUUGGGGACUUUCCGGUCCUCAGUGCCGCAGCAAACG